RNAcentral lists this ribosomal RNA (260 nucleotides) under uncultured bacterium. Its description in RNAcentral is "partial 16S ribosomal RNA". It matches the Rfam family "Bacterial small subunit ribosomal RNA", at positions 524 to 776 of the family's 1533-position model. The record is from RNAcentral.
UACGUAGGGUGCGAGCGUUGUCCGGAAUUAUUGGGCGUAAAGAGCUUGUAGGUGGUUUGUCGCGUCUGCUGUGAAAAAUCCGAGGCUCAACCUCGGACUUGCAGUGGGUACGGGGCAGACUAGAGUGUGGUAGGGGGAGACUGGAAUUCCUGGUGUAGCGGGUGGAAUGCGCAGAUAUCAGGGAGGAACACCGGUGGCGAAGCGGCUCUCUGGGGACGGUACUGACGCUGAGACGCGAAAAGCGUGGGGGAGCGAACAGG